GACGAACGCUGGCGGCGUGCUUAACACAUGCAAGUCGAACGAUGAAGCCGGAGCUUGCUCUGGUGAAUUAGUGGCGAACGGGUGAGUAACACGUGAGUAACCUGCCCUUGACUCUGGGAUAACUGCGGGAAACUGUAGCUAAUACCGGAUACGACCCUCGGAGGCAUCUCCUGGGGGUGGAAAGAAUUUCGGUCAAGGAUGGACUCGCGGCCUAUCAGCUAGUUGGUGAGGUAAAGGCUCACCAAGGCGACGACGGGUAGCCGGCCUGAGAGGGUGCCCGUCAACACUGGGACUGGGACACGGCCCAGACUCCUACGGGAGGCAGCAGUGGGGAAUAUUGCACAAUGGGCGCAAGCCUGAUGCAGCAACGCCGCGUGAGGGAUGACGGCCUUCGGGUUGUAAACCUCUUUUAGCAGGGAAGAAGCGGAAGUGACGGUACCUGCAGAAAAAGCACCGGCUAACUACGUACCAGCAGCCGCCGUAA
This 484-nucleotide ribosomal RNA is filed under the name uncultured bacterium. RNAcentral describes it as "partial 16S ribosomal RNA". It matches the Rfam family "Bacterial small subunit ribosomal RNA", at positions 28 to 523 of the family's 1533-position model. The record is from RNAcentral.